RNAcentral lists this ribosomal RNA (490 nucleotides) under uncultured bacterium. RNAcentral describes it as "partial 16S ribosomal RNA". It matches the Rfam family "Bacterial small subunit ribosomal RNA", at positions 30 to 507 of the family's 1533-position model. The record is from RNAcentral.
AUUGAACGCUGGCGGCAGGCCUAACACAUGCAAGUCGAACGGUAACAGGAAGAAGCUUGCUUCUUUGCUGACGAGUGGCGGACGGGUGAGUAAUGUCUGGGAAACUGCCUGAUGGAGGGGGAUAACUACUGGAAACGGUAGCUAAUACCGCAUAACGUCGCAAGACCAAAGAGGGGGACCUUCGGGCCUUUUGCCAUCGGAUGUGCCCAGAUGGGAUUAGCUAGUAGGUGGGGUAACGGCUCACCUAGGCGACGAUCCCUAGCUGGUCUGAGAGGAUGACCAGGCACACUGGAACUGAGACACGGUCCAGACUCCUACGGGAGGCAGCAGUGGGGAAUAUUGCACAAUGGGCGCAAGCCUGAUGCAGCCAUGCCGCGUGUAUGAAGAAGGCCUUCGGGUUGUAAAGUACUUUCAGCGGGGAGGAAGGGAGUAAAGUUAAUACCUUUGCUCAUUGACGUUACCCGCAGAAGAAGCACCGGCUAACUCCGUG